Anolis carolinensis (green anole) is the source of this 3105-nucleotide long non-coding RNA. RefSeq lists it as uncharacterized. Lineage: Eukaryota; Metazoa; Chordata; Lepidosauria; Squamata; Anolidae. The transcript is spliced from 2 exons. The record is from RefSeq and is a predicted model, not a curated record.
UUGUAUGGUUGUAUUUAUGUUUAGUAUGCACACUGAAGUGGAUUAUAUGGCAGUGUGGAGUCAAGAUAAUCCAGUUCAAAGCAGAUAAUAUAAGAUAAUAUAAGAUUCUAAAUGGGUUAUAUAGCUGUGUGGAAGGGCCUUGAGUCUACACUGCCAUAUAAUCCAGUUCAAAUCCUAAGUGAGACCUAACUGUGCCUGUCCCCUGGGCUGAGUAGGUUGCUGGGAGACCAAGUGGGCGGAGCUUAGCCUUCAAACUGGCAGCAAUUGGAUAAAAACUAUUAUUCCUCUCCCUCUAAUUAGGACUUUAUUUUUCUUUUCUUUUUCUUGUAUCAACCUAGAGCUGUGAAUGAUGGGUUGUGUUGUCAAAUUUCGAGGUUGGGGGGCCUGUAGUUUUGUUGUUUUGUCCGCUGCCCUGAUGCCAUCACUCUUUUAUAUAUAUAGAUUAAGGACACAUGCACAGUAGUUCCUCUUGCACUUGAAAAUGCUUAUCCUCCAGCUGUCCAGAUUUGGCAGGAACAGCUCUGCUUAAUCUUCUGUCAUCCCACUUUCUCAGCUGCCUUUAAAAUGUCAGCUUGUCUCUGUUCCUACUUUUCCCCUUUGUUCUCAUAGUACAGUAGAGUCUCACUUAUCCAACAUAAACGGGCCAGCAGAAUGUUGGAUAAGCGAAUGUCAUGGAACCCAGUUACAGGGCUUUGGUAAUUCAGCCCUGUAACUGGGAGUCAUAACAUAAACAAUCCCAGGAGCACCUGGCAGAAGAAGAUAGAAUAUGCCUGGGAACUUGGGGCCGAAAGUAUAAACAAUUAUAAUUGGUCUAGUGUGUGAAAAUGGUAGUAAUGUGAUAUUGGGGGUGGGACUUGAUGAUGAUAUUUACGUGUGGUGUUACGUAGCAUCAAAAGUUAUAAAAAUAGUUGUAUGUAAACAUUGGGUCAUUCCUGACUUUUCCAAAGUCAUGUGUUCUUCAAUAAAGAUUGGAUUUGAGAGCAGCCAUCUCUGAUCUGCGUUCAGACUGAUCCUUUGAAGUGAGCAGGACAAUUAAGUCAGGAAUCCAGUUCUCACCCUCCUGCAAAUUUGCAGUGAAGUGAUAAUGAGCAGGGAAGGAGAUCAAAGCCAUGACGGAGCAAAGGGGCCUCCGCUGGGAGCUCUGCCGUUGGCAGAAGAGACAUUGCAAGCCAUAGCUUCCUCUACGGGGUACCCCAAGCCGGACGGCGUGACCCAGAGGAUUCCCAGAGGGGGAAGAGGCGUUCCGGCGGCGGCAGAAACCAGUUGGGGAUCUGGAGGAAGCAUGCCGGAGACCGUGGCCCAGCGGUUAUCCAUCCUGGAAACUCAUUUAUCCAGGCUGUCGGAUACCGUGGGGAGAAUAGUGCCAAUAUUGGAAGAGAAUCUCCAAAAAGAGCACAUCCGAUAUGGCGCCGAGAGAGAGCCAAGCAAAGGAGGCGAUUGGAGCCAGAGGGGACAGCGAGCUUCAACGCAGAGUCCCGCGGCGGCAAGGGACGAGGGAGACGAGGAAUAUUGGCAAGAGCUGGAGUUCCGGGACAGAAUGGCGCGCGAAGUGGAGCGCCAGCAAGCUCUGGGAACUCUGAGGCCGCCAACCCCAACAGAGCUCCCAACCCCCCGAAUGGGCGUCGGAGUAGAAAGACCACUGGGGCCAGGGAUCGGGUCCAGUGGAUUAGCUGACGAAGGCGGAGAGGAGCAGGAGAUCCAGGAAGAGGAGGAGGAUGUGCCGUACGACGGGGAAAGGCGAGAUGCGGGGGCUACAGCGAGGCCAGUAUGCGGAUGGGGGGAAGGGCCGACAGCGGCGGCAGGAUUUCGGGAGCCGCGCAGAAUGACCACCGGAGUGGGGCGCGGCGUGAUCCAAGGAAACCCGAUGCAACCCUUCCCCAUGCCUCCCAGACAGCAUCAACGGGCCGCUGAAUGGAUGCCAAGAAGGGAAGAUCUCAAGCUAGAAUACGGAGGGGAAUCAGCCGAACUGAACUUUUUUCUAAUUAGCAUCAGGGGAUACAUGGAAGACAAUGCACACACAUUCCCCUCCGAAGCAAGCAGGGUUCGGGCCAUCGGCAACACACUAAAGAGAGGAGCGGCCAGCUGGUAUGUGCAACUACAUGCCAGACAGGACCCAUGCCUGAGGUCAGUGCCCCGCUUCCUCGCCGCACUGGAAAACCGGUUCAGAGACCGGCUAGAGCAAUUGAGAGCUCGAGACCAGCUUAGAGGAAUAAAGCAGAGGGACAAAACGGUGCCCGAGUACGCAGAAGAAUUCCUCCACCUCGCGGAAAGGGUACCAGAGUGGUCUGAAGUGACCAAAGUGGAAUUAUUUAAAGAGGGACUACGCCCCGAGAUUUUCAGCUGGGCAGCGCACAGAGAUGACCCCGAAACGCUCCAGGGAUGGAUUCAACUAGCGGGGCGCGUUGAAUCCACCCUGGCCCAAGUAAAGCGCUUCAGGAGCAGCGGCGGCCAGCAAAGACCGGUGGCGAGAGGUCGAGGAGAAACGAGGAAGCAGGAAAGACCCGGAGGGAGGCCGGGGAUUCCCUCCAGAGGAGACAACAACAAACCUAAACCGGGAUGCUUUGUAUGUGGGAAGACGGGCCAUCGAGCAGCAGAAUGCUGGGCACGGAAGGGGGAGCCGCCAAAACCCUCAAAGCCCAAGCCAGCAACCGGGAGGCGUGCGGAGGAGGAGGUGCAAGCCCCAGAAUCUCCAGAAAAAUUGGCUUGUGAUGAAAGAAGAACCGAAGAGGAGGACGAAGAAAAGGAGGGCACCAUGUCAUGGAACCCAGUUACAGGGCUUUGGUAAUUCAGCCCUGUAACUGGGAGUCAUAACAUAAACAAUCCCAGGAGCACCUGGCAGAAGAAGAUAGAAUAUGCCUGGGAACUUGGGGCCGAAAGUAUAAACAAUUAUAAUUGGUCUAGUGUGUGAAAAUGGUAGUAAUGUGAUAUUGGGGGUGGGACUUGAUGAUGAUAUUUACGUGUGGUGUUACGUAGCAUCAAAAGUUAUAAAAAUAGUUGUAUGUAAACAUUGGGUCAUUCCUGACUUUUCCAAAGUCAUGUGUUCUUCAAUAAAGAUUGGAUUUGAGAGCAGCCAUCUCUGAUCUGCGUUCAGACUGAUCCUUUGAA